UCUAGAACUCGAGAUAUGGGCUGAACACUGAACAGUGUUUGGGCUGCAGGACAGAUUCGGACUUCUUCUUUGUUGCUACAAUUUGGACUUGAAAACGGCCUUAUUAAAUCUUGGACUCCUCAUGAAAGUUGUAGGCCUAUGUCUUAGCUUUUCAUC
RNAcentral lists this microRNA precursor (156 nucleotides) under Populus trichocarpa (black cottonwood). RNAcentral describes it as "MIR2912 microRNA precursor family". It matches the Rfam family "MIR2912 microRNA precursor family". The record is from Rfam by way of RNAcentral. Lineage: Eukaryota; Viridiplantae; Streptophyta; Magnoliopsida; Malpighiales; Salicaceae.